AUUGAACGCUGGCGGCAGGCCUAACACAUGCAAGUCGAGCGAGCGGCGGACGGGUGAGUAAUGUCUGGGAACCUGCCUGUUGGCGGGGGAUAACUACUGGAAACGGUUGCUAAUACCGCAUACCAUCCGAUGUCCCCAGAUGGGAUUGGCUAGUCGGUGGGGUAAUGGCUCACCUAGGCGACGAUCCCUAGCUGGUCUGAGAGGUUGACCAGCCACACUGGAACUGAGACACGGUCCAGACUCCUACGGGAGGCAGCAGUGGGGAAUAUUGCACAAUGGGCGCAAGCCUGAUGCAGCCAUGCCGCGUGUGUGAAGAAGGCCUUCGGGUUGUAAAGCACUUUCAGCGGGGAGGCGUUACCCGCAGAAGAAGCACCGGCUAACUCCGUGCCAGCAGCCGCGGUAAUAC
RNAcentral lists this ribosomal RNA (406 nucleotides) under uncultured bacterium. RNAcentral describes it as "partial 16S ribosomal RNA". It matches the Rfam family "Bacterial small subunit ribosomal RNA", at positions 30 to 526 of the family's 1533-position model. The record is from RNAcentral.